AUGUACCCACGUACAUUCCGGUUCCUCUGCGCCGCCCGCACCUACCGCGAGUGAGCGCC
Molecule: small RNA, 59 nt
Filed under: Xanthomonas campestris
Lineage: Bacteria; Pseudomonadati; Pseudomonadota; Gammaproteobacteria; Lysobacterales; Lysobacteraceae
Also listed under: 2 other names
Description: sX9 sRNA
Rfam family: Xanthomonas sRNA sX9
Source: RNAcentral